ACUCAAAGGAAUAGACGGGGACCCGCACAAGCAGCGGAGCAUGUGGUUUAAUUCGAAGCAACGCGAAGAACCUUACCAAGACUUGACAUUACGCGACUGGUGUGGAAACACACCGUCCCUUCGGGGCGCGUGGACAGGUGGUGCAUGGUUGUCGUCAGCUCGUGUCGUGAGAUGUUCGGUUAAGUCCGGCAACGAGCGCAACCCCUAUUGACAGUUGCCAAUAUUAAGUUAGGAACUCUGUCAAGACUGCCGUGGACAACACGGAGGAAGGUGGGGACGACGUCAAAUCAUCAUGCCCCUUACGUCUUGGGCUACACACGUGCUACAAUGGGCGCUACAAAGAGUCACAAGCCUGUAAAGGUAAGUCAAUCUCAAAAAAGCGUUCCCAGUUCGGAUUGAGGGCUGCAACCCGCCCUCAUGAAGUAGGAGUUGCUAGUAAUCCCGGAUCAGCAUGCCGGGGUGAAUGCGUUCCCGGGUCUUGCACACACCGCCCGU
RNAcentral lists this ribosomal RNA (495 nucleotides) under uncultured bacterium. Its description in RNAcentral is "bacterial SSU rRNA". It matches the Rfam family "Bacterial small subunit ribosomal RNA", at positions 899 to 1397 of the family's 1533-position model. The record is from RNAcentral.